GUGCCAGCCGCCGCGGUAAUACCGGCAGUUCGAGUGAUGGUCGAUAUUAUUGGGCCUAAAGCGUUCGUAGCUGGCCAGUCAAGUCUGUUGGGAAAUCCACCCGCCCAACGGGUGGGCGUCCGGUAGAAACUGGCCGGCUUGGAACCGGAAGGCUCAGAGAGUACGUCCGGGGUAGGAGUGAAAUCCCGUAAUCCCGGACGGACUACCGAUGGCGAAAGCACUCUGAGAAGACGGCUUCGACAGUGAGGGACGAAAGCUCGGGUCUCAAACCGGAUUAGAUACCCCGGUAGUCC
RNAcentral lists this ribosomal RNA (293 nucleotides) under uncultured bacterium. RNAcentral describes it as "partial 16S ribosomal RNA". It matches the Rfam family "Archaeal small subunit ribosomal RNA", at positions 455 to 747 of the family's 1478-position model. The record is from RNAcentral.